Molecule: ribosomal RNA, 253 nt
Filed under: uncultured bacterium
Lineage: Bacteria
Description: partial 16S ribosomal RNA
Rfam family: Bacterial small subunit ribosomal RNA
Source: RNAcentral
UACGUAGGGUGCGAGCGUUGUCCGGAAUUAUUGGGCGUAAAGGGCUCGUAGGCGGUUUGUCGCGUCGGGAGUGAAAACCUUGGGCUUAACUCGGGGCUUGCUUUCGAUACGGGCAGACUAGAGGUAUGCAGGGGAGAACGGAAUUCCUGGUGUAGCGGUGAAAUGCGCAGAUAUCAGGAGGAACACCGGUGGCGAAGGCGGAUCUCUGGGCCGUAACUGACGCUGAGGAGCGAAAGCAUGGGGAGCGAACAGG